UUGGCGGAUUAAGUGCUAUCUCUUUCUUCAAGUUCUACAAGAUUUUCAGAUUAGUUUCUUUUUAAUAUCAUACAUUUCGAUGUUUUUGAAAAUUAUCUACAACGCAUAUAACAAUGUGCCUACAUAGAAAGUAAGUACGUUAACAAUGCGAUAUUUAAUUCGUUUUAUAGUUUUUUCUUUUUUCUAUUUUUUUGCCUUUUUUUCUUUUUUUGUUGUUGUAUAUAACCCCAUAAAUUCUUUGUGAUUUGACCGAACGAACAUUCGUCGUAUUAUUUUAUAUUUUGAUUUAAGUUAGUAUGUGGUUGCUAUUAAUGAAAUAUUCGACAAUUAUUACGAAUAUAUAUCUAUAUCAUAAACAAUCGAACAAUAUAUAACAGUAUUAAAAAAUAACGUAUUAUCGAGAACAAAGAAUUUGUAAUAAUUCAUAGCUAUUAUGACAAACAAUGCAUACAUUAAAGUGCCUCCUACUGUCAUACGAAUAAUAUAAUUUAAUUUUGUAUAAUAUUACGAGGUUUGUUCAUUGUAGUGGAACUAUAGAAUAUUACAACGAAUGGUAGAAGGAAAUUUGGUUGGUAAUAAUUUCUAUUUAUUGAUCGUUCAAGUUAUAGAUACAAAAGGGUAUCGGGAGAUAGGUUUUACAGUACUUUCACCAUUUUUUUCAUCGUUAUUUUCUAUCGCUCUCAAGGUUGUUACGAGCAAAUUCGAAAUCGAGUAUUCCGCUUCGCGAAGCGUGCAAAUUAUCCGAUGCAGAAUGUAUACCACGCCUGCGUAUAGAAUCUACCGCAUUUCGUGCUUUACCUUCGGUUACGAUCCUUUCCGUUUCGUAAAUGGUCACGAUGGAAAAGAUCGUUCUUUCAUUAUCUCUUUUGCUUAUCGAUAAAUUUAUCGUCGAUAAAUGUAUUUACUCGUUUCCUUUGAAGAUUUAUUGAUAUACGAUAUUAUUUAACGAUGUCAAAAAAUAAUUCCUUUAACCUUUUGAUCAGCCGAUAAGUAGAUUACAAUUAAUAAUAGUUUUAGUAGUAUCUACUACGUUAAUCAUCGAUUAUACAAUUUCCAAAAUAAUGACUCUCAUUUAAGUUAAACGUUCAUUCAUAUGUAAUGUAAUAUUUAAAGAAGAAAAGAUCAUUAAUCUCUCUUUCUUUCUCUUUUGUCGAAAAUUGAUUAAAUUUAUUAAUUUUCAUGGAAAAUUUAUUAGUAUAAAAUUAUAUUUAACAAUUUGAAGAAAUAAUUUUUAUAACUUUUCGAUCAGUCAAUAAAUAGAUACCAUUAAAAAUAAUUUUAGUAUUUACUACGUAAGUCAUCAAUUUCGGUUAUAUCGAAGUAAUAUAUAUAUAUAUAUAAAAAAAAAAAAAAAAAAAAAAAAAAAGGAAAAAUGGCCGCGAUUUUAGCCCACAUUAAACGUCCGUCCGGUGCAAUAUAAUAUUUCAAGAAGAAAAGCUCACGAAGGAGAAAAUAAAAUCGCGGUAUGCUGCCACCAAAACGUUUGGAUUUAUUUCACGCGACCUCGAAGCAGGAUUGUGUCAGGAGAUGAACCAGAGCGAUGGAUUAUUUAUCGGGACAUCUCUCGUUCCGUUCUUCUCAUUCCAUUCUUCUUCUCCUCAUCCCUUAUUUCUCAAAGCUCCGUGCGUCAUCCGGCGUCUCCCCGGGGAUGCAGGAAACAAUGUCAUCUAUCUUCCAGCGUGAUCCACGUCCGGUGCAUCAUGCUGGAAUUACCGGUACUAAUACACACUAUGCUAUCGUAUAGCCAAGACCAUACAAGGUAUUCACGUAUGUGAUCUGCCAGCCAACCUAGAUCCAUGAUCUAUCUACUUAUCUAUCGUACGCUUAUCCGCAUUCCUUGUUUCAGGAUCUAAGGUUAACAUUUACAUCCCCGAUAGGAGAUCCUUACCUAACUAAAAUUAUAACACGAAAUCGAUCAGUUUUCGUUUUCUUUCAUCUUUUAUAACUUUUUAUUGUUACUCUAAUGUCAUUUCGACAUUUGUAUAGAACAUCGAUUGAUAAAUGAUAAAAAUGCAUAACAAGAUGAAUGAUCUGAAAAAAAAUACAUACAUAUAUAUAUAUAUAUCCAUGCAUAUAUAUAUAUAUAUAUAUAUAUAUAUAUAUAUAUACACCUAUAUGCAUGCAAGUAUAAAUAUAUAGAUUCGUAAAGUAGAUCAGUUGCUUCUUGCGAAAAAGGAAUGAACAUAAUGGUGAAAAGCGACGAUUUCCCUGAGAAAAUUUUCAACGCACGGAUCUCACUUGAUAGCAGUGCAAGGUGAAAUAUUGAAUUUCUCAAAGCGUUGAUACGUGCGUAGAUAUGUGUAUAUGUGUCUAUGAUACCAGGUAUCUAUAUAACAUACAUAUAUAUAUAUAUAUAUAUAUAUAGACACAGACAGAUACAUACAUAUACAUACACAUGCACGCUAUAUAAAGUAUAUAUAUUUUUUUACAUCAUAUAGUCGCACGAUUUCCAGGCCCUUUUUUCUUUAACGUGUCUCUCAUAUCUCGCUUCUUCCGCUGUGCUCAUCGCACGUAUGCCAUACAAUAGGCACAUAUGGAUUACAAUGGCUCUUGUCAUACGCGCCAUACAUACUCACGAUGCUAGGAUUUUAUGAAACAGUCGUCGUCAUCAUCGUCGUCGUCGUCGUCGUCGUCGUCGUCGUCGUCGUCGUCGUCGUCAUCGUUGCAAUCUGGUUUCAUAGUAACGAUCGAUACAUCGAUCGUAACAUCCCGAUCGUCGUCAUUGUGUUGGAUCGAUACUCAGGAAGUCUAUAAAACAAGCUAUAAACUGGCGAAGAUUUUCCUUCGAACGAUACGUCUCCUUUCGUUUUCUUCCUCUUCUUAUAUUCAGAUUUCUUUUAACGGAUGUUCGAUUAUAUUCAAAACUUUAUCAUCUAUGUAUUGAAGCCUUUACGGAUUCUCCAGAAAUUUUCAACAGCAAUGGUGAUUUAUUCAUCGUUGAAAUAAAUUAUGAGAAUUAUAAACUUUAAGCAAACUCUUUCAAACUCAUGGAGCUUGAUUUAUUUGCUCUUAAAUUAAUCCAUUAUAAAGUGAGUACACAAGACGUUCUCAUAUUUCUCUUAAUAAGAUACAUCCAAUUACAUAUGAGAGCUAUUGAUCGUGAUAGUGAUCUAAAGUCAUUUGAAAUAUUAAAAAGACAUAUAUCUUGUCUCACACGUUAUUUAAAAAAAAAAUUUUUAAAUAACAUAAAAGAAUUAUCUUUUAAGAUCAAUUACAUUUAAAAUAUUUCGAAACGAUUAAUAUGUGACUUAAACAAUUCGAUCACUUUCACGAUCACUCAAAUCAUAUACAGGGUGGAUCUUUUAAGUAAAUUAAAAAGUUCUACCUAAAUGAUCCAAUGAGAAUAGGAACAACGACAAUGAAAACGACAAAAUAGGACCGACGACGACGACGACGACGACGACGACGACGACGAUGACGACUGAUGGGUCACCUUUUUUUUAUUUUUUCGGCAAAAAGUCGAAGAUAUAAAAAAAAUUGUUUUUUGCAUCAGAAUAAGCCAAAGAGAUAUUUAGGUGGUCUUACUUAAAAGGAUCAUUCUUUAUAUAGAAAUGUUACGAUACGUUAUCAGUAAUCUUAUCAACGCGAUCCAUAUAUUCGGUGUCUAUUUUAAAGGUGAUACAAAUUUUGUAAAGUGAGAUAUAGGAAGUAACGAAACUGGCAGAUUGGUGUCGUACAUGGAACGAGGAAACUGGUAAGACGUUUCGUGUAUCUACAUACAAACAAGAUCUCUGAUGGUAAGACUGCCUAAGGUUGACAGCUGUCUGAGAGUUUUCACCGCGACGACGACGACAACGACGACGAAGACGACGACGUCGAAGACGAAAACGACGACAACGAAGACGACGACGAUGAAGACGACGACGACGGUGUUAUCUCCAUAGCUGGAUCAAUUUCCUGGAUCCUUUUCGUGCAAGAAGGACAAGAUCCUCUAGGUUCUACACCACGUUAUCGGAAAUUCUUCUCUUUCCUCUAUCGUCUCACCAACCUAUAUAGAUUCGAGAGUACACACGUACACACAUUUUGAUUUGCUCAGGAGAUGAAAGGGAGCGAGAUAGAUCGAAGACACAAAGACGUUUUCCAAGAACUAGAAAGAAUUUAGAAAGAGAAAAAAAGAUGAGUAUAAAAAGGGAAGAUAGAAAUAAAAUUAAUUACACAAUUAUUACAAACGAAUCCAAUUCCAGAUAUGGGAUCAUAGACAAAAAGGAAAAGGAUCUUAAUUGAAUGUUGAUCAAUUUUACUCGCGCUCUAUAGAAAUAUUCAAUAAUUUCACGUUGACGUGUCCCAGGAAAGCAUAUUAACACGUCGACUACGUUUGGAACGUAAUCUACAAGUUAUGCAUCUCGCAUCUAAUUUAUUUUCCAUUCCGCUCUAGUUCCUCUUAGUAGAACAUGUCAUCAUCAGUGCUAGAUCUUAUCUUAAGAAUCGUAUUCCGGUUUUAGGUGAAACAUAUGCUGAGGAAUAGCUGGUUGCCUUGGAUGCCUAAUUCAAGAACGAACGUUGCCAUUAGUGGUCGAGCGCAUUCGUGUUUGUGAAAAUUUAAGCCAAACAGAGAAACUAAGAAACUAAGAAAAAUAGAGAGCGAAAGAGGAUCAUCGAAGAUGAUUAAGAGUAUUCGAGUGGACUGCGAUUCGAUUCCUAAUUCGCUCAAUUUCGGAUGCAAUUACCAUGUCAACGCGGUUGGCUUAUCGAUCACUUCGAUUCGAUCACAUCUGAGGAAUGGUGUUUAUACGGUGAUUCAUGAUUUAUCGAUCAAGAGUAUUAUAGCUUUGUAUUGAUCAAUGAAAAAUUCUCAAUAUCGAGCAACCUAUCAAAGGAAAUCGUGUGUUACUGGUUGGUUACAUGGAACAUAUUUGCUGAAAUUUGUCCUGGUUACUGGCAAAUGCAUCGCUUGUUAUCCUAUUAUCUGGAUUAUGGUGCGUUAUGUGGAGAUCUGACGAGGAAAUCGAGAACGAGAACGAGAACGAGAAUGAGAACGAGCUGAAGCUAGCAAGAGCUUUUCCUCUCAUUUUCACCAAGGAUGCGGCUAUAAUUCAUGAAGUGGUGCUAAUUCCUUGGCAACCACCGUCGCACCGUCUCGUCAAGAGGCUUUGCGCGUCGAAACAGCUUCCCAUUUCACAGCGGAGUUAGGAAAUGUAUUGUUUUCUCGAAAGAGUAUCCCACCGAGACCAAAAUGGUGUAGACUGUACCAACCAUCCAGGAUCUACGAACGUCGGAAUAGUGGCAAGCAACCUAACGUCCCUCGUGUCUUUGUUUGAGUGCUUAAGAGAGAAGAAAAUCCCCGGUUGGUAUUUCAAGAGGAGUGACGUUUGGACGCGGAUUAGACCGCGAACAUGUUAAUGAUAAAAAUAGAAUAUAUAUAAUUCGUUGGUAAUUUAUCGUGAAAAAAAAUAUUUCUAGCGUUACAAAUAUUUCAUAAAUAAUUCAUUGAUAUCAAAUUGUUUCACGUCGAGUGAUCAUUUUAUAUUUAUUUUAAUGAAAUAUCAUAAAAUUUUAUAAUUAUAUCUGUAUAACGUAUGUAUAACAUACUUGUAUAUUUAUAAUUGUGUAUUAAAAAAAAAAAAAAAAAGAAAAAAAUGGAGGGGCGGAGGGAGGAAAAGAAA
Long non-coding RNA from Vespa crabro (European hornet), 5603 nucleotides. RefSeq lists it as uncharacterized. The record is from RefSeq and is a predicted model, not a curated record. Lineage: Eukaryota; Metazoa; Arthropoda; Insecta; Hymenoptera; Vespidae. The transcript has 9 exons.